GCACUGGUCAAAAAGCGUCUGCUAAUAUUUCACGGCUAUUCAUCAGCCGCUCCUGUUCGAUCUGUCAUUCCUCUGAAUUCGGCACACAGCCCAGUCACAAAUCUAAAUAGAUUUCAGAGAAGAACACUCUGAUUGUCGAGUCUAGUCUCAUUUGAAUAUUAGCAUAGUUCCAUAUCAUUCAGCAUAGAUUACUAACCGAUUAAAGUUGUUUUUGCCAAAAAGAAACUUUAAUGUAUCACUGGAAAAUGCUCGCCAGACUUGCUGGUGAAUUGGCCUCGCGCCAAACUUGGAUAAAUUCAAAAACCCCAAGCAAAGAAAAUAAAAUCGAAAGUGGGUUUAAUUUUGUGUACCAACUGCAUACGUAGGUUUCAAUGCCGUACGACGAAAAGCAUACGAGGGAAUCUACCCACUGAAAUCGUUUAAAGUGAGAUCACGGCCCAUUUGCAUACUUCCAUGAUGAUGGCCGUGUGUGUUACAGGUGCUACCUUUACAUGGAUUUGUACGCAGAGUGAAAGUUGCGUCCGCCGGAUCCCCAAAGUGCGGAAUCACAAGAUGUAGGAAACCACUUUAAAUAAGGCGCGCUAUUUCCCCUCUUCAAGUCAAACGAUCAAUAACGGAUGACUCAAGAGCCGCCGAUUCGUGACCGCACCUACUCUUAGAUGGAAGCCACAGUUGAACAUUUGAAAGAUAAUUUACCAAACCGGGACUGACGGUUAAAUCAUUUAACUUGUAUUAUACUUUUUAAAGCUUUUUUGCAUUAAGAUUGGCGCUUCUAUAUAGAAGCAGAAAACUUGGCAGAUGCAAUCGCGUCUGUGUUAGACGCUCGUCAAAAGUAAAGAGAAAAGACAAUGAUGAGACAUUUGCGUGUUGUUUUGUACACACGAUCCUUCUGUAUAGUCAGACGAGCAUUAAAAACUUUCUAGGUAUCCAUUGCUGCUGCAGUUCAAGAUUUUCGUGGAAGAUAUGGAAGGUAAAAGAGGCAAGUGUCAUGGCGGAUAUACGGUGAUGUUAUCCGUUGAUGGAAUGCACCUCUAAGUCUAUCGAUUAUUAGACGUCUUCACAACUGAUGGUGAAAUUUUGGGAAGAUUGGAAUUCCUGAAACGAAAUUUCGUUGGACUUUUACGGCUUUUUUUUAAUUGAUUGAUAAAAUUUCUUGCAAGAUUUUUAAGUGUAAUUAACGCCGAUUUAGCCUUUUGUGGGUUUAGAUUUCUCAAGAAUUUAAAUUAAAAUUUAAAAUUGUGUGUUGCAUUCGAUUUUAUCGUUUCACUACACGAAAAGAAAAUUAAAUAUUCAAAAAUAAAAAUAUUAAUAUUAAUUUUUUAACUGCCCACUAGUCGAAAACUUUUCGUCUGCCAAAUUUCCAUAGAUGGCGCGUAGGUAUUAAAUCGUUCUGGCAACGUUGUUUUAUUUGGAGGAUAGGGAUCACUGGAUCGCAAAUCCAAAUCAUUUGCUGAGCAAAGCCGUUUGGUCGAAAAAUAAAUCGUAAAAUAUCUUUGAAACCCUUCAUUUUAUAGUGAUGCAUCCACAUAAAAUAAAGAAGCGUUGAUCUAGUCGUUAGCAAACUGGAUUCUUUAAUUUUUGUUAUUGAUUGUGGAUGAGUGAUAUCUUGCAUUGGAAAAUCGUGACCUGUUCUCACAUGUUUGGAGGAAGAAAAUUCCAGCAAGCUGUUGUUCGUGAAAGCUGUUUUCACGGGUGGAGAGCGGAGGAUUGAACGCAAGUGACUCUACGAAUUGUGAAUCGACAAAAGAAAAAAAAAAAAAGGAAAAGGCCCAGCAGCUGUUUUGAUUAUACGGAGCCUCGUCUUAACGUACAGCACGAGGCGAAAUAUACCUCAUGAACCCUCCCACACGCUCUUCAGGGUGGAGGAGGAGGGAACUCGGUGCAUGCCCGGAGCGUGCACAAAAAUUUGCGUGUUCAAAACACAGCAAAUUCAGCGGGUGGAGGGGGGAAAAAGCAGGUCGCCGCUAGAUGGCAUUACAUGGCAUCCCCUCUAUGCGUUUCUUGCGCAAAAAUGUAAUUUUAGAAAAAUACAAAAUCAUCGCAGCCUUCAAGUAUCGUGCAUUGACGUUUAAUGGCUCAAUUGGGUGUGCAAAACACCUUAAUAUGAUGUCCGCACGCGUCGUGCUUGAUGGAUAUUUAGCGGACUUUUGGAAUUAUAACAGGAUACGACCCCAGCGGGUGGCUAGAAGAAAAGAAUUGUUCAUCCACCGGACGAUCCACUUUUCUAAAGCAACAGUGGCCGCGCACGCGUGAAAAUAAACAUUU
Long non-coding RNA from Daphnia magna, 2265 nucleotides. RefSeq lists it as uncharacterized. NCBI's taxonomy places the organism in Eukaryota, Metazoa, Arthropoda, Branchiopoda, Diplostraca, Daphniidae. The record is from RefSeq and is a predicted model, not a curated record. The transcript has 7 exons.